AUUCAAAGUAUUAGAGAAUUAUAACCAUCCACAUAGAACCGAGCGAACUGCUUCUCCCCGAGGUUGAGAUCAUGUUUGAUCUCAAUAUUCUAUGUUUGAGCCACAUAUUCAAGCUACUGCAUAGAAACAUCAUGUUUUACUCUGUGCUGUGUAUGCCCCUUCAUAUGUCAGAGCCAAUGUGUCCCUUGGGAGAAAAAAUGUUCUGAACACAACCAUACAGCUCGACAAAGCUGUGUGUUCAACACACUGCAAUAUAAACGUUGCAUAUCGGUUUACUUAUGGUAUAGUCGGGUCUUAUGUUUGGUAGCAAUACUGACAUGACUCCCCAAAAAUUCUUUAUUUUCAAUCAUGUGUGGUCCUUGUGUAAAUAUAGACACUUUUUCUGUGGGUGGGGGGUGUUGUGUGUUUUGAAGCAUUGCAGACGCUCACAACCUGCCGCAUGGUGCAAAAUUAGGAUUUUACACUCCGAUGCCUUUCAAAAGCGUCUACAUCAGAGAAUGAGACCUUGUGUUGGGGACCGAAAUUCAAUGACCUAGUUGUGUAGGAUAUCUUAAUUUAUCACACUGUCAUGUCUGGGAGGAUAAAAUGUGCUAGACAAAGAGAAACCGAGAUUGUUAUCCCUAUUGUCAGGUGUGUACUGAAGACAAACAUUUUUGAUAAUAGCUGAUCAUAAGUGUCACAGUUUGGGUUAAUGUCUGGUUUUAUUUUGUAGUUUCUUGCCUCUGCUCUCCCUGAUGACUCCCUGACUCCCAACACUUUCUCUCACCAGGUAUGGUAUGAGAGGGAAUGAGACCGCCUACAGGUUGGAGAUUGACCAACUGGUGACGUGGUGCAGUCGAAACAACUUAGAGCUCAACGCCCUGAAGACAGUGGACUGUAGCCGACCCCUCUCACCCUGGACACAGACUCUUUGGCUCUUCUUCCAUCUGGCAGGAUGCUGCGGUCCAUCACGACCAAGACCUCUCACCACACAAACGCUUUCCACCACCGCAUCAUCAAGCCUCCCAGAUGACUGAGGAGCAAACUCUUCCCUGGACUUCUCCGUCCCGCUAGAUGUCUGAGAAGCCAGAGGUCCCUACUCCACUUGGUUUAUACGCUGGUUAAAUGCUCAAAUAGCGGGCUUAAUUUUUCGUCUUUGUUCUCCAGUGAAGGAAAAGCGAGGCAUAAAAGUAUAUGGUGACCAAACGCUACACCUCCAGCCACCAGUCUGUCAGGCUCCUGAAUUGCAGAUGACACCACCCUCAUUGGACUCUGGUGGGAAUGAGACCGCCUACAGGUUGGAGAUUGACCAACUGGUGACGUGGUGCAGUCGAAACAACUUAGAGCUCAACGCCCUGAAGACAGUGGACUGUAGCCGACCCCUCUCACCCCGGACACAGACUCUUUGGCUCUUCUUCCAUCUGGCAGGAGGCUGCGGUCCAUCACGACCAAGACCUCUCGCCACACAAACGUUUUUUCCCGUCAGCAGUUGGUCCGAGCCCCCCAUUGACCCAAAUACUCCAUCCCGGAAACAUUAUGCACUUUGGAUUCUUUCACCAUGCAAACAUAUGGACAUACAUAUGUGAAUACAUUUCUGUUUAUAUUGUUAAUUCUUGCUUGUAUAUUUGUCUUAUUUUACUUUAUUCUUUAUUGCACCAAUGCACAGAGUCCUCUAUAUGUAACCUGUGGCAAUAAAAGGCUUCUGAUUCUGGU
This is a long non-coding RNA of Gasterosteus aculeatus aculeatus (three-spined stickleback), 1692 nucleotides long. Lineage: Eukaryota; Metazoa; Chordata; Actinopteri; Perciformes; Gasterosteidae. The record is from Ensembl.